UCUCUCCUUGGAUUGCAAACAGCCACCCUCUUGCUGCUUCUUCAUGUAGCUCUGUGUCUACAUGCCCCUGGUUGUUUUCUUUCUCAACUGUGAUCUGGAAAUGUACAACUAGAGGAUCUCAAUAAAUGCUUCAAUGUGUGACCGGCUAAUUUUAUUAACAUCAGUUCUCUCUGAAAUGAUGCUGCAUUUACUUGGUAACAGAAAGAAGUGGCGUGAGUGAAGAAGCUGUGGGUACAACCUGGUGUUUAUCAAAGUUACAGGAAUUGGGUUAUAUCACUUCCUGGGGAAUGUAUCAAAGAUGCAUCUGAUAUGACAUCUCAGGAAAUCUGUUCUGAAAUCUAUUUGGAUAAAAGGAGACAAUACAUAUAAAGAAUAAAAUAUAUACUGGAUUGUGAAACAGAGGAACUAUAAGCCAGCAUAAAG
Long non-coding RNA from Canis lupus familiaris (dog), 423 nucleotides. RefSeq lists it as uncharacterized. NCBI's taxonomy places the organism in Eukaryota, Metazoa, Chordata, Mammalia, Carnivora, Canidae. The record is from RefSeq and is a predicted model, not a curated record. The transcript has 3 exons.